This is a non-coding RNA of Phrynosoma platyrhinos (Desert horned lizard), 72 nucleotides long. The record is from the annotation of a GenBank genome assembly. Lineage: Eukaryota; Metazoa; Chordata; Lepidosauria; Squamata; Phrynosomatidae.
ACCAGUAUAGCAUAAUGGUUUGUGUGUUGGACUAGGACUCUGAAGACCAAGGUUCAAAUUCCUGCUCAGCCA